Molecule: ribosomal RNA, 59 nt
Filed under: uncultured bacterium
Lineage: Bacteria
Description: partial 16S ribosomal RNA
Source: RNAcentral
UGCCCUUGACAUUGAUAGAAUCCCGUAGAGAUAUGGGAGUGCCUUCGGGCCUUGAAAAC